UAUUUGCAGGUUAGUACCCAACAAAACUUGGACACGACGAUUUGUCCAAAAAAGUGUCUAAAAAAGUUGCUUUCACGGACGCACCGUGUUUUGUUGUUUCAGUUUUACAUUCGGAACUCUAAAUUCUCGAGAGUUCCGAAAAUCAACUUCCGUUGAUCCUGAUCAUAACAACGUUUGUUUUCAUGGAAAAAAAAUAUGGCGACUAAGAAACACUUAAUGUCAACAAGAUUUUCUGAUUGACAAGAGAAAAGGUCAAACAGGAACUUCAAUUGUGAACAUUGCAGAGAACACACUCAUCAGAAGAUGACCCUCAGAAAUAGGACAAUUAAUGAAUAAAAUGGACAGAGGCAGAACUGAAGGAGAUACAUGGAAUGAGGAAUAUUUCAAAGAUUGCCUGCGCAUAACCACUGCUACUGGAUAAACAUAUGGCAAUAUAAAAGAGCAGGGUCAAUGGAGGUAUCAUACAGUAUAGACCAUGAGAGACCCUGAAGAAGAAAGUAUUGAACAGAAACAAAAAUAAAACCAUUUUGACAUUUAUUGAAAUAUAGGAUCAAAGUCUUACAUGUAAAAUUUGGGCAUAGAAUGACUUUUCUCUAGCUCUAAGACUUAUAACAGUGAUGAUUUGAUUUAAUAUCUUUAUCCCGAUUUGUCGAAAAGAUUUGGACAUAGUGCAUCAAUUAUUUUAAAGUUUUGAUACAACGAAUUCAUUCAUUGUACUUGUAACUGAGUUUUCUGGUGCGACACUGUUUUAUCGGCUUCAAAACUAAGUUUGUGAUUUCCAAACCAG
Saccostrea cuccullata (small rock oyster) is the source of this 787-nucleotide long non-coding RNA. RefSeq lists it as uncharacterized. The transcript is spliced from 3 exons. NCBI's taxonomy places the organism in Eukaryota, Metazoa, Mollusca, Bivalvia, Ostreida, Ostreidae. The record is from RefSeq and is a predicted model, not a curated record.